This 167-nucleotide ribosomal RNA is filed under the name uncultured rumen bacterium. RNAcentral's name for it is "partial 16S ribosomal RNA". It matches the Rfam family "Bacterial small subunit ribosomal RNA", at positions 340 to 524 of the family's 1533-position model. The record is from RNAcentral.
UACGGGAGGCAGCAGUGGGGAAUAUUGCACAAUGGGGGAAACCCUGAUGCAGCGACGCCGCGUGAGUGAAGAAGUACUUCGGUACGUAAAGCUCUAUCAGCAGGGAAGAAAACGACGGUACCUGACUAAGAAGCCCCGGCUAACUACGUGCCAGCAGCCGCGGUAAU